AUGAGCGUUGGGGCACGGUGCACAUGGGUUAGGGGCUCUAAGGUUGGGUGGGGGAAGGAGCCCCAGGAAACAGUGUGCCUUUGUGAGGGUGUGUGUGUGUGUGUGUGUGUGUGUACCGAUGAGUCUGUGUGCAGUGGGUGUGGGUGUUUGUCUCCCUGUAUCCGCCUUCUCUCCCAUUCUGGACUUUUAGCCUUCCUGGGCUCGUUUUCCUCAUGUCCUACCUCCUCCCUCUUGGGGCUCAAAUUAGGUGCCCUAGUGGAGGGGGGGGGCACGCUCCAGGACCUAGUCCAACCCCAGACGCUGCCUGAGGCUUCCCUCCAGCUCCCCCUCCCUUCCUUUUCUCUCUCUCCUCCCUCCCUCUCUUUGCUCUCCUCCUUCCACCCCCCCCCCAGGCUGGCGUGCCAGGGGGUGGGACAUGCCAAUCACUGGCUGUGCCUCUCCCGGCUGCCAGCACAGGGCGCAGCUCCCCCCCCCACCGGAGCCAGGUGUUUGGGUCCCUGGAGACGCCGCCGGCCCCCCGGGAAGGCAGUGGGGCUGAGGAUCCUACAGACCCUUCUCCAGACCCAUGGGAACCCUGAAUCCCACCACCCCAUCCAUUUCCAGUCCCCCCAAGAUGGACUGAAUCAGGUUGCUGGCCAGAUGGACAAGCUGGAUGCCAAGGUGGGUAUUAGGCCAGAAGCCAGCAGGAGACCAGGCCAAGAGCCCCAGGGCUCUCAGGGAACAAAUGGCCACAUGGAAGGCCACACCAGCCAGGGAACGUGGCCCUGACGUGUGCAAGGGCCCAGAGGGCCCUCCCUAGGUCCACAGUAUCUUGGACUCCCACAGAGUAGAUCUCAGUCCUGUGUCCUGGUCAUGCAGGGAUACUAAUGGGCACCCAUGCAGGCCCCCAUCUCAGUACCCCCAGACUCCACAAUGUAGGCUGGUAGCUAGGAACUGGGUGGUCAGCCCUCAUUGGGUCAUUCAGAUAAGUGCUGCUUCUGGGUUAUCAGUGCUAAUGAGAGGGAUUCACCUCUUGCCACAAAACAUACCUACAGCCCCACUCAGGCUGACC
RNAcentral lists this long non-coding RNA (1051 nucleotides) under Canis lupus dingo (dingo). RNAcentral's name for it is "lncRNA (ENSCAFG00020013231.1)". Lineage: Eukaryota; Metazoa; Chordata; Mammalia; Carnivora; Canidae. The record is from RNAcentral.